Dicentrarchus labrax (European seabass) is the source of this 1394-nucleotide long non-coding RNA. RefSeq lists it as uncharacterized. The transcript has 3 exons. The record is from RefSeq and is a predicted model, not a curated record. NCBI's taxonomy places the organism in Eukaryota, Metazoa, Chordata, Actinopteri, Moronidae.
UUUGCCGUGCGGUUCACCUGUUGGUUUACCUGUGUGCUAAAUGUGCUGCAAACUGCUGCGGUUCAUGUGGCAUUUCUAAACGGAUUCUGCCUGCAAACAGUGCAAUCGUGUCACCUAAGGGUUCCUUUGUGAAGGAAAUGUUCCUGUUGGGUUCUGGUUCUGAAAUCUGAAUCUGAUUGCCUCAUGGAGCACUUCAAACCGGAAGUGGAGUUUUCUGCUCCUGUGGCUGCAAAUUAGGAUCACAUCACAUUAGACCAUCACAGUGGAUUUACUCCACAGCUUCCCUUCAUGGAGGGGUUGGGUGCAUCGAGACAAACAGAUGCGGGCACUGAUUCUCCAGUCGCGUGCCAAUGAACCACCGCAGAAGAAGACGCAAGUCUCAUGCUUCAUGUACGUCAUUAUUUAUUGGUGUGCAGAUAAGUGAGAGAUUCCUACCUGCACCUGCAGUGACAGCUGGUGCCAGGCGUAGUCAUUGCUCUGAUUCUGCCGGGUGAAAUCAUCGCUGUAACUGUGUGAGUGGACAAUGCUGGGCUGCACCAGACUGCUCUGUGACCGCAGGCCAGACAAGUCUUCACUGCGGGAGAAAGCAUUGUUGCCAAAGGCAGGCUGAUAGUCGUGGUGGCCGUUCUCAGGCUCAGGGGCAAGUAGGAGAGGAGGGGGAUGAGGCUGAGACUGAGCCGGGGAGUUCUGGGCAGCCAGAUGGAAUAGCGGGUUCUGGAAAGACAGGGGGAAGUGCAUGGCCGCUGCUGCCUGCUGCUGUUGUUGAGAUAUGGAUUCAGUGGGCCCCCCUAUGUGGCCCAUCUGGCUCAGCCUCAAACCGGAGCCCGCUGAGCCCGCUGGCAUAUGUCCUCCCAUGCGAAGAGGACCGCAGAGGUUCCCGAAGCUGUGGCCCAGGCCAGCAAUAGAGGCCUGAGAGGAGGUGAGCAUGUCUCCCACAGAGUUCAGGUUGGAAAUGCUGUUCAUACGGGAGUCCUGAAGGUCCAUCAUGGACACACUUUUAUUCACACUAUGGACCUGAGAGACACAACAAAAACAUUUAUUCUAGCUUUAUUCUGGACUGGAUUUAUAUACAAAAACAUUGUUCAGAAAAUACACUCAACUCCAUUUCUGAAUGUACAGUAAAUACGUGUAUUUUUAGUUUUAAAUUGAAUUCAGGCACAUUUAACUGUCAUAUCUAGUUAUAUUUAUGCCUUUAGACAGCUAAAUGCCUUUACAUAGUUAUGCUAGACCAAAGUCUCACUCCUCUGUGUAUUGUUUUGUUCCACUUUAGCUCCCCUUGAUUUUUCUUUAAAAAUCUCUUUUUAUUGCCUUGUUUUUCUUUUAUGUCUUGUUUUAAUGCCUUUUUAUGUCUUAUGUAAAGUACUGCACAAAUAAACUUGCCUUGCUGGAUUCUA